RNAcentral lists this ribosomal RNA (264 nucleotides) under uncultured bacterium. RNAcentral describes it as "partial 16S ribosomal RNA". It matches the Rfam family "Bacterial small subunit ribosomal RNA", at positions 89 to 354 of the family's 1533-position model. The record is from RNAcentral.
UGGCGACCGGCGCACGGGUGAGUAACACGUAUCCAACCUGCCGAUGACUCGGGGAUAGCCUUUCGAAAGAAAGAUUAAUACCCGAUGGCAUAGUUCUUCCGCAUGGUAGAACUAUUAAAGAAUUUCGGUCAUCGAUGGGGAUGCGUUCCAUUAGCUUGUUGGCGGGGUAACGGCCCACCAAGGCAUCGAUGGAUAGGGGUUCUGAGAGGAAGGUCCCCCACAUUGGAACUGAGACACGGCCCAAACUCCUACGGAAGGCAGCAG